GUGCUUGCUUUGGCAGCACAUAUACUAACAUUGGAACGAUAGAGAAAAGAUCAGCAUGGCCCCUGUGCAAGGAUGACACGCAAAUUCGUGAAGCGUUCCCUAUUUUU
Molecule: small nuclear RNA, 107 nt
Organism: Ochotona princeps (American pika)
Lineage: Eukaryota; Metazoa; Chordata; Mammalia; Lagomorpha; Ochotonidae
Source: Ensembl